AGAGUUUGAUCAUGGCUCAGAUUGAACGCUGGCGGCAUGCUUUACACAUGCAAGUCGAGCGGCAGCGCGGGGGCAACCCUGGCGGCGAGCGGCGAACGGGUGAGUAAUGCAUCGGAACGUACCUUAUAGUGGGGGAUAACGCGUCGAAAGAUGUGCUAAUACCGCAUGAGAUCCGCGGAUGAAAGCAGGGGACCCGAAAGGCCUUGCGCUAUGAGAGCGGCCGAUGUCCGAUUAGCUAGUUGGUGGGGUAAAGGCCUACCAAGGCGACGAUUGGUAGCUGGUCUGAGAGGAUGAUCAGCCACACUGGGACUGAGACACGGCCCAGACUCCUACGGGAGGCAGCAGUGGGGAAUUUUGGACAAUGGGCGCAAGCCUGAUCCAGCCAUGCCGCGUGAGUGAAGAAGGCCUUCGGGUUGUAAAGCUCUUUCGGUGGGAACGAAACGGGCGCGGUUAAUACCUGCGUCUAAUGACGGUACUCACAGAAGAAGCACCGGCUAACUACGUGCCAGCAGCCGCGGUAAUACGUAGGGUGCAGGCGUUAAUCGGAAUUACUGGGCGUAAAGGGUGCGCAGGCGGCGGCUCAAGUCAGGUGUGAAAGCCCCGGGCUUAACCUGGGAUGUGCGCUUGAAACUAGGUCGCUAGAGUGUGUCAGAGGGGGGUGGAAUUCCACGUGUAGCAGUGAAAUGCGUAGAGAUGUGGAAGAACACCGAUGGCGAAGGCAGCCCCCUGGGAUAACACUGACGCUCGGGCACGAAAGCGUGGGGAGCAAACAGGAUUAGAUACCCUAGUAGUCC
This 794-nucleotide ribosomal RNA is filed under the name uncultured bacterium. Its description in RNAcentral is "bacterial SSU rRNA". It matches the Rfam family "Bacterial small subunit ribosomal RNA", at positions 8 to 796 of the family's 1533-position model. The record is from RNAcentral.